GCUUCCGUAGCUCAGUUGGUUAGAGCUUCGUACUAAUACUUCCCCUAUCGGGCAAGAAUCAGUGAUGCGAGUAAACUCUCACAUGCUCCCCCGAACUCUCGCUUUCUUACCAGGUCGCAGGUUCAAGCCCUGCCGGGAGCA
Molecule: non-coding RNA, 141 nt
Organism: Thelonectria olida
Lineage: Eukaryota; Fungi; Ascomycota; Sordariomycetes; Hypocreales; Nectriaceae
Source: the annotation of a GenBank genome assembly